AACGAACGCUGGCGGCAUGCCUAACACAUGCAAGUCGAACGAAGCCUUCGGGCUUAGUGGCGCACGGGUGCGUAACGCGUGGGAAUCUGCCCUUUGGUUCGGAAUAACAGUUGGAAACGACUGCUAAUACCGGAUGAUGACGAAAGUCCAAAGAUUUAUCGCCAGAGGAUGAGCCCGCGUAGGAUUAGCUAGUUGGUGUGGUAAAGGCGCACCAAGGCGACGAUCCUUAGCUGGUCUGAGAGGAUGAUCAGCCACACUGGGACUGAUACACGGCCCAGACUCCUACGGUAGACAGCAGUGGGGAAUAUUGGACACGGGGCGAAAGCCUGAUCCAGCAAUGCCGCGUGAGUGAUGAAGGCCCUAGGGUUGUAAAGCUCUUUUACCCGGGAUGAUAAUGACAGUACCGGGAGAAUAAGCCCCGGCUAACUCCGUGCCAGCCGCCGCCGUAA
This 449-nucleotide ribosomal RNA is filed under the name uncultured bacterium. RNAcentral's name for it is "partial 16S ribosomal RNA". It matches the Rfam family "Bacterial small subunit ribosomal RNA", at positions 29 to 523 of the family's 1533-position model. The record is from RNAcentral.